GAUGAACGCUGGCGGCGUGCUUAACACAUGCAAGUCGAACGGAAAGGCCUCUGCUUGCAGGGGUACUCGAGUGGCGAACGGGUGAGUAACACGUGGGUGAUCUGCCCUGCACUUCGGGAUAAGCCUGGGAAACUGGGUCUAAUACCGGAUAGGACAAUGGUUUGGAUGCUGUUGUGGAAAGUUUUUCGGUGUGGGAUGAGCUCGCGGCCUAUCAGCUUGUUGGUGGGGUAAUGGCCUACCAAGGCGUCGACGGGUAGCCGGCCUGGGAGGGUGUACGGCCACAGUGGGACUGAGAUACGGCCCAGACUCCGACGGGAGGAAGCAGUGGGGAAUAUUGAACAAUGGGCGCAAGCCUGAUGCAGCGACGCCGCGUGGGGGAUGACGGCCUUCGGGUUGUAAACUCCUUUCGCUAGGGACGAAGCGUUUUUGUGACGGUACCGGGAGAAGAAGCACCGGCUAACUACGU
Molecule: ribosomal RNA, 466 nt
Filed under: uncultured bacterium
Lineage: Bacteria
Description: partial 16S ribosomal RNA
Rfam family: Bacterial small subunit ribosomal RNA
Source: RNAcentral